RNAcentral lists this ribosomal RNA (400 nucleotides) under phytoplankton environmental sample. RNAcentral's name for it is "partial small subunit ribosomal RNA". It matches the Rfam family "Eukaryotic small subunit ribosomal RNA", at positions 587 to 992 of the family's 1831-position model. The record is from RNAcentral.
AGCUCCAAUAGCGUAUAUUAAAGUUGUUGCGUCAAAAAAGCUCGUAGUUGGAUUUCUACCGAAAACGGGCCGUCCCUUCUAUGAAGGUCAUGUGCUUCGGUUUUGGUAUCCUCUCGAUAGGCGUUGCCGCGCUUCAUUGCGUGGUGCGGAUUUCGAGACUUUUACUUUGAGGAAAUUAGAGUGUUCACGGCAGGCAAUCGCCCUGAAUAUGUUAGCAUGGAAUAAUAAUAUAGGACCUUGGUUCUAUUUUGUUGGUUUCUAGAGCUAAGGUAAUGAUUAAUAGGGACAAUUGGGGGCAUUACUAUCAAUGCGUCAGAGGUGGAAUUCUUGGAUUGCAUUGCGAGUAACUACUGCGAAAGCAUUUGCCAAGGAUGUUUUCAUUGAUCAAGAACGAAAGUAG